GAAGUGACUGUCAACUGCUGAAAAAGUGAGGUGCUACCUGCUCCAGGCCCGUUUAGAAGAAUCCUGGGCAUCAGGAAUCGAAUGAUCCAUGGGCUAAAUCUUCUCUUCUUCCCCCAGAAGCCACAGGUGAACACCAUAUGCUUUCAUAUAACUGCCCUCUGACCCCACAAGAUCUCUUCCACCACACAGCCUUCCUACAAAAGCAGCAACCAACCAUUUCUUCUAUGCUGGCUCCUUGUGAAUAUUGUUGCUAAGGCCUGGCUGAGACAUUUGGCGAUCUGCACACACUCAACCUUGGAGAAUUUGUGAGGUUGUAACAAAAUCAUGGGAUGCAGGUGGCACUGUGGGUUAAACCACAGAGCCUAGGACUUGCCGAUCAGAAGGUCGGCAGUUCGAAUCUCCGCAACAGGGUGAGCUCCCGUUGCUCAGUCCCUGCUCCUGCCAACCUAGCAGUUCGAAAGCAUGUCAAAGUGCAAGUAGAUAAAUAGGUACUGCUCCAGCGGGAAGGUAAACAGCGUUUCCGUGCGCUGCUCUGGUUCACCAGAAGCAGCUUAGUCAUGCUGGCCACAUGACCUGGAAGGUGUACACUAACUCCCUUGGCCAGUAAAGCAAGAUGAGUGCCGCAACCCCAGAGUCGGUCACGACUGGACCUAAUGGUCAGGGGUCCCUUUACCUUUUUUAACAAUAUCAUAGAAUUGCAGAGUUGGAAGGGGCCCUGAGCAUCAUCUAGUCCAACCUCCUGCAAUGCAGGUAAAGGUAAAAGGUAAAGAACCCCUGGAUAGCUAAGUCCAGUCAAAGAUGACUCUAGGGUUGCAGUGCUCAUCUCGCUUUCAGGCCAAGGGAGCCAGCGUUUGUCCACAGACAGCUUUCUGGGUCAUGUGGCCAGCAGGACUAAACCGCUUCUGGAGCAAUGGAGCACUGUGACAGAAACCAGAGCACAUGGAAACGCUGUUUACCUUCUCGCCACAGCAGUACCUAUUUAUCUACUUGCACUGGUGUGCUUUCAAACUGUGGAAGCUGGGACCGAGCAAUGGGAGCUCACCCCGUCACGGGGAUUGGAACUGCUGAAUUUCCAAAUGUCAAGCCCAAGAGGCUCAGUGGUUUAGACCACAGCGCCACCCGCGUCUCAUAUGGGGAUCAAACCUGCAACCUUGGCAUUAUCAGCACCAAUGUUCUAACCAACUGAUCUAGCCAGGUGCUUUAGGUGCCAACUAUAUGAACCAAUGUCUCAGCAUGCAGGCCUUCUCAUUGCAAAUCGCUGCAAGAUAAAGGUGGUAGAUAACAAACUAAUAAUAAAUAAAUAAAACAUGGGGCUACAAAAGGGGGUAUCCUUAACCAAAACUGCAAAAAGCAAAGGACGGAGAAGUUAUGGAAACAAUUAUUAAUUCAGAAACACAUGUUUAAUUUAAACAAAACCCCACGCCAAGCUGACUAAAGGUGUGCCACAUAUAAUAUUGUUGCAUGGAGGUUCCCUCAUUGUGAGAAGCGAGGUUACAGGGAACCAGGCAGAGGGCCUUCUCGGUAGUGGCACCCUCCCUGUGGAACGCCCUCCCGCCAGAUGCCAAACACAUAAACAACUAUUUGAUUUUACAAGACAUUUUUAUAAAGUAAACAAAAUUUAAAAGUAUACAGUGUGAAAUACUAAGCUUUUUGUCUGCCCUCAAACUGCCACCAUUCAUUUCAUUGGGUGAGCCCAGGUUGCAGUACGAUAAAUGGGAGAGAGAAAGUGUGUGUGUGUGUGUGUGUGUGUGUGUGUGUGUGUAAAGAUUGUGCUGCUGGUAUCCAUAUAUUGCUAAAAGUGUGGAAGGUGCCAGUAAAAUGGGCAGCAAAAAGAAGAGGAGCUGGUACUAUGUACCACUGAGUAUUGCCACAAACUCACCCUCAGCCCUGCACAUAAAGCCAUUAUAUUAUCAAAAAUUUGUUCCAUUGUACUUUUUAUUUUUUUAAAAUAAACAUGUCUCCCGGGUGUGAAAAACAAAACACUCACAUUCAGCUUUUCUGCUGAUUAAAGAAGUGUGAGCUUAAUAACUCUGCCUUGUAAACAAGUAAUUAGUACUACUUGUAAACAGUACUAAUUUGUAAAGAAGUAAUUACCGUAUUUUCCCGUGUAUAACAUGCCCCCGUGAAUAAGACUACCCCUAUUUUGGGGGACUCAAAUUUAAGAAAAUGGGGGGAGAUGGCCCGGAGUUGUUGAGCUGACAAGCUCCUGCUCACAGCUGCAACCAAUCACAUGUCCCCCACAUGCACUACCUGUGUAUAAGAUGACCCAAGUUUUUAAACAUUUUACAGUAAAAAAUACUUGUCUUAUACACAGAAAAGUACGGUAAUAUAUAAAAAUUGUGUGUGUGUGUGUGUGUGUGUGUGCGCAUGUGCAACACCAAUGACGUACUUUUUUUUUGCAGGCAUUUUGCAGCUCCUUUCCCCAUCAAAUUUUGACUGAGCUGGAAGUAGGGUACGAGAGGAGGCACUUAGAAGAGGCUGGGGCGGCAGCCAGGAUGAAUGUGAGGAAAAACAUAAACACACUUGGGUUUUAUUACAGAUUGUGAGGAAUCAGGAGUUACAGCAGAAACUGUGAAUUUUGAACCGGAAGGAGGAGAAAGAACUCUGGG
This is a non-coding RNA of Podarcis lilfordi (Lilford's wall lizard), 2609 nucleotides long. NCBI's taxonomy places the organism in Eukaryota, Metazoa, Chordata, Lepidosauria, Squamata, Lacertidae. The record is from the annotation of a GenBank genome assembly.